RNAcentral lists this long non-coding RNA (28682 nucleotides) under Nicotiana tabacum (common tobacco). RNAcentral describes it as "long non-coding RNA (NTAB_LNC004389)". The record is from RNAcentral. Lineage: Eukaryota; Viridiplantae; Streptophyta; Magnoliopsida; Solanales; Solanaceae.
AGUGGAAUGGCUGUGUUCGGUCUUCGGCCAUCCCCGUCUAGGGUUCCACGUGUCUUUCCUUUAGAUGACCACAUGUCAUAUCAUAUUUCACCAUAUAAAGAUAGUCUCACUGCUCUUCGGUGACAUAACUUUGUGUUAUCGGGAAGUUGGUAGAAACACUCUUUUGGCGGGAUUUACUAGAACUCCCUCUGAAAGCUUCUGACGAUUGAUUAGACGCACGUCUCUCCGCAUUUAAUGCCCCGAACACGCGUUAUUCCACGAUUCAGCACAACUUUUGCCGAUUAUCGAGGUAAUCAUGCCAUGAAUUUAGCCGCCAAAUUUUUACUUAUACGCAUCAUUCUUUUCCUUUGCACUUCAUAAUUUCUUGAACUUCUGAUUUGCAUCUUUGUUCUCCAUCCUUUCUAUAAUUCUCUUCAAACAAAAACCUUUUCCUUUUUCUUAUUCAACGGCUUCUUCCUCCAAGCGUGCCUGUUCUUCAAAGAUUAAGAACAAAGUCAAGGACUCUGCUCCUCCAACGGUGGGUUCUAUCAUCCCAAGGAGACUCAGUACCACAAAGGACUUAGAAGAGAUAUUCCCUACUGAUAACCCUCGUACAUGGGCUGUUAGUAGGUACCCUUAUUCCAUUCAUCCUUCCAGUAUUCCUGCUGUGAAGGAAGACUAUCGCUGCCAUGAGUUGGAUAUCAUUGCUCCUGCUCUAUCGGAGAGAGUGACCCUUCCCAAGGAAGGUUUUACAUACUUUUACACGUAUCCCUUUACUUUGGGGGCGUUUUCUUUGAGUGGAGAGCUUGAUUCCGUGAUUGCGGAGUUUUACCUUCGCUACCAGGUGUGUUUGGCACAGGUAAGUCCUUCAGUGUGGAGGACGGUCGCAUGCCUUCGACGGUUGUGCCAGUAGACUGGAGAGGAGCUAACCUUAGCUCAUAUGAUGAGUCUUUAUUCUCCCAAAAUCUUUCGCGGGGGAAUGAUAAACCUUUGCAAGCGUGGCCACCAUGUUUUGCUGUCUACAUGGAUGAUGACAACGACCAUGGGUGGAUGGAACGGUUCAUUGCAGUCGCCACCAAUGACAUCAUUCCGUAAACGGUUUCAUCCUUUCUGGCCGCUUGGAACCGCACUCGUAAGCUCUUUGUUUAGUUUUUCCUUUUACUAAAUACUUUUCUAUAGUCGUAUUGAUCCUCCAUCCUUUGUUUGUUUCAGCAACUCGAUGGAUCCCACUGGUGAUGGAAGGCUUGGACAGGUGGGUUCAAAAGAUCUUGGACGUCACGACGCCCGAAACUCGUUUGUGGAAAGAACUAGCCCUUAAAUAUGGGUGGAAGGCCAAAAAUUAUGGUAAUUUUAACUUACCUUGCUUCCAUGUUUUUUUUGUAUAAGGAGAACUUGGUUGAACCCAUCUGACUUGUUCACAAAAUUAGGUCUACUUGCGGGCUCCAUUGUUGUCCCCGAGGAGGAUGUCUUGGAGGAUCUUGCUGAGAGCUGAUAAGUGGAGAUUUUGACUACUUAUUGUCAUGCCCCGAACUCGGGGGGGCGCGACCGGCGCUUAACCGAGUGAACCCGGCCGAGCAAGCCUGUUAUAUUUCCUUCUACCCAAACUCAUCCAUGAAUAAAGAGGAGAUGCACUUCAUUAAUCAAAUACUGAAAAGAUUUCAUUAACAACUCCCAUUUAAUUUCCAUUAGCAGCUUCCUUCAUAAUUUCCAAAAUAUUACAAGUUUAUAGAUAUAAUGAAAAAUAUGUCUUCCAAAUACCAACACUUCUAGUUCAAUUCCCAACAACAAACACCACCCACAACCUGUCUACGGAGCCUCUAAGUACAAUAGAAGAGUAAGAUGGAAGUGCCGGCAACAAGGCCCCGGCUAUACCUCAAAAUAAAAAGUACAACAUCAAAUGAUAUCAGGCCUAGAAUAGAGUAGGGCUCACCAAAACCUGCUGAAUAGGGAGUAACUGCUAACGAGGACCAAAGUUCCCCGCUGAUGAACCACCUGCAUCCAUUGAAGAUGCAGCACCUCGGCAAAAAAGGACGUUAGUACAUAUGGAAUAGUACUAGUAUGUAAAGCUAACUGUCCUCUUUCAAAAUAGAAUGCCAAUGUAAGAAAGGGAAAAACGUAGAAACAGCAAGUCACAAUCAAUGAUAUCUAAAUGCCAAGUUAAAACAUAAUAAUUUUCAAAAUACGAAGAUAAUAUUAUUUUUGGUUAGGAGAUCUUUAGCACCGAUAUACCACUAUUCACAAUACCACCGUACUUUUAUCACGGAGUCCGAUCACGACCCGACCGGCUAGGCCGUCUCAUCCGAGACAUCAACCAUAGUCACAAUCUUGAUCAUAAUUUCAAUUGCAAUUUCCAGCAUAAUUACCGCCAUGUGUGCCGCAUGGCGUCCGAUCACGACCCCCGAUCGGCUAGGCCAUCUCAUCACAAAGGCGUAUGGAUUGGCAUCAUCCUCUUCUAUCAAUCAUCUCAUCCCAAUUAAGGGGAAUAAUGUUAUCAUAUCAAUCUCAUCCCAAAUAAGGUAAAUGAUCACAAUCCACUCCUACACCGGCACAUGUAGUUUCAGGAUUAGGUUAUUUCAACCUACCCUUCCUCGGUGACUAUCGAUACUCCCAAAAACAUUUUUUAUUUGCAUACAAAGGAAACAGCAAUACAACUGCAUUUACCUCAUAACCUUUCACACCAUUUAUAGCUUCAUUGGCAUUUCCAUCCACUUACAACAUCAUUAUUUCAUUGGCUCUCUUGGCCAUACAUAUGAUUCUUCAUUCAUGGAACAAUGGCUGUAUUUCAUAUUCCACAUUUUUAUUUCUUUCCUUUCAUGGAUCAUCAUCAUAAAUAUCAACAUAUAUAAUAUUCCGAAAAUCACAAUUUUAAGUUCAUUAGAAAUGAAGAAUUUAAGCACAAUAGAUUCCUUUCCAAGAAAUUGAGUAAAAUGAUCGGCAAUCGAUGCGCANNNNNNNNNNNNNNNNNNNNNNNNNGAAGAUCUAUGUAUUUUAUGAAGGAAUUGAUGGAAUGAAACACAAAGUUAGUAGGGAUUACUCACCUUGAAGAUGGGGGCAGUUGGAGGUCUUGAGAGAGUGGAGGAAAACCCCAAAAUUCGGCCAAGAGAAAUGGGGUAAAAUGAACCCUAAAUGAGUAUAUAGUGUUUGGGGCACCACAUAUAGCGUGGGGAUCUGCCUGUGGCGCUGGUUCCAGAACCUCAAGAUUCCCAGCACCAGGGAUAGCGCCCCACGCUACCCUGGGCACUGGCGAUGGGAAAUCAUUUCUAUUUCUCCCGAAAAUUGGCAUAACUCUCUCAUACGAUGUCCGAAUUUGACGAUUCUUUUUGUUAUGGCUCCGUAAUUUCCAUACGGAUCUAAUGCUUUAAUCAAAACUGAAUUUGGAGCUCAUUUGCUUAAUGUGAUACCACUUAUGCUUGAAGAAACGACGACGAAACAUCCUAGAAAUAUCCAAAUUAAAUUACGGACAUAUGCCCGAGUACAAAAUCAUCAUCCGGACCUAACGGAAUUGUCAAACCUCUGAUCCAAGGUCGAAUACAAAAAAAUUAAACUUGAUCAUAAUACAUCAUUUGAAGCUACUUAAUACUUCAAAUAGUUGAGAGGAGAGUAAAUGUUCAAAACAACAAGUCGGGUCGUUACACUUAUUAGCGUCUUUUAGCUUUUAUUUUAGUCUAAAAGCAUUGAAUUACAUUUCCGAAACUAAUGAAAUGUAAAAAAUUACAGGAAUGCGGGAAGUUAGACUCCUGAGAUGCAAUCCGGCUCAAAGAGGAGAAGUCCAAGCACAAGGCAACAAAAGGGCACAGAAGCAUACAAAGUGCGGUCCGCAGAAGUAAUUCUGUGGCCGCAGAAGCAAUUGCGGAUCACAGAAUUCCACCUGCAGUCUCAAACAAAGAAGCAAAAUUCAGAAGAUAUUUGUGCGAAUUGCGGACCGCACAUGAAUUGUGCGGCUGCAAGAGCUGAGCUAGGACUCAAGUUCAGAGAGUGUGCAAAUUUCCAAGUCCCAAGUCCCUGUGAAUUGCUGACCGCACAAGAAUUGUGCGGUCGCAGACAUAAAUGUUCAGACCGCAGAAGACUGGAUUGCGACCGCAGACAUAAUUAGUAGACCGCAAAAAUGUUGCCUCGCGGCCGCAACUCAUAAUUGUACGGCCGUAGAAUCCCAGCCCCUGCCAGAUGAAGAAGUCUAUGGACUACACAUGGAAUUGUGCGGCCGCAGAACCUCCCGAGGGAAAAUUUUUGUUCGAGAUUUUCAGAUUUAUAUAAAUAGAAGAGUUUCACGAAAUUAGGUCAAGUUUUGACAUCAGCAAUUACCGUAGCCGUUUUUCUUUGCCUCUUUUGGAAGUUUACUAUAUUUUGGUGUAUUUUACAAUAGAUUUGAUUAUUUUAAGCUUACAUUAUAAGUUUAAUUAGUCUUUCUUCUUUUUCUUUUUCAAACCCAAGCAUGAGUAGCUAGAUUUUUACUAGGGUUGUGACUGAACCCUAGUGUGUUAACCUUAUGGGUAAUUAAAUUAGUGAUUGUUUAUGAUUUGGUAUAUGUUAUUUAGCCUAGUUCAUGCUUUAAUUUGUGGAAUUAAUGGUUGCAAACAUUAGUUCAUGUCUAUUUGACUUAGUCUAUAAUUGAGAAAGAGAGACUUAGUCUGGAAAAACUUGGGUAACAAGGAAUUGGGUCAAUCGAGAGAUUGAUUAACCCAAUUAAAGGGUUCAACCUAGAAAUAGUAAUAACCCGACUUGAGCUUUUAUCAACUUUUGUGUGAUACCCAUUUGGUCUUGAGAAAGCCAAAUUGGGCAAAACCACUCUCUGACCGAGAGGUAUUGAGUGGGUAAUUGAGAGUUGAUAGCUAUAACACACCUCGUCCAACAAAAUAAGCAUUAAGAUCUUUAUCCCAUUAGGCAAACUCCUAGGUAAUGGUCACAACUCUAGGCUUUUUAUCAAUUUGAAAAACCCCCAAAAACAAUCAUCUCUAGUUUUCUUUCUUUAAUUUGCAAUCAAUAGAGUAAAAAUUAGAAAUAGAAAAUCAAUCUUUUGUGGAAGUGAAAUCUUGAUAAUUCAAUCACGCGCAUUAAGAUAUAUACCCCUAACUCCCAUUCUUAGCUCCCUAUGGAUUCGACCCCGACUCUUAGUUGGAUUUUAUUAUUGCAAAUGACCGUUUCAUACCUCUUUUUAGGUGUGCUAUUGGACGCGAUCAAUUUUUUGCGCCGUUGCCGGGGAGUUUAAAACGGUGUUAGCUAUAUAUUUGGGUGUGUUUUUAAAGUAUCUUAUUUUCCUUCCGUGUUACUAAUUUGUUUGAGAAAUCGUAGGUACAACCAUGGCAAACAAAGAGCUCGGAAAUAUUGCUUUGGGGGAUGUAGACAUUGAGGAUGACCAAGUGGAUGAGGUUCCUCUUGAACCUCAAGCCAAUAGAAGAGGUCGAGUGGCUUAUGACAAUGUGCCCUUCCCACCCCCACCUCCACCACGAGCGGCUCCACACCGGGUGUUACCUAAUGAAGGAUAUGCAAGUGCAAUAGUCCUUUCCCGUAUUUGGGCAGGCAACUUUCAAAUCACCAACAUGAUGUUCACUUUGCUAGAGCAACGAGGUUUCUUCAUCGGUGCUCCAAGGCAAAAUGCAUACAAACAUUUGAAGUGAUUUGUGGAUACGUGUUGGGGGAGCAAGCAAAUAAAUGUCUCUGUGGAUGCUUUGAGGCUAAGGAUUUUUCCCUUCUAUCUACAGGGGAAAGCCUUAGAUUGGUUGGAAUGUUUGCCGAACCAUUCCAUUCACACUUGGGAUGAAUUGGUGGAAAAGAUUAUUUCUAAGUUCCUCUCUCCGGGGCACAUGGCUACACUUCGGGAUGAGAUUCUAGCAUUCAAGAAAGAGCCCAAUGAACCACAACACGAGAUAUGGGAGUGAUAUAGAACAAUGGUCAAGGAAUAUCCCAACAACGAUAUGACGGAAAAUAUGAUUCGACAAACCUUCUAUCGUGAGAUUAACACGACCAACCAAUGUGUGGUGAAUCAACUUGCCAGUGGAAAUUUUAUGACUACGCCUUAUGCGGAGGCGUGUGAGAUUUUAGAUGAAAUGGCGGAAACAUCAUCGGCGUGGCAAUCCUGGGCUAAUGUUCCACAAGGUGAUCCCAACGUGAUUCACCUCCACAAAGAGUUGCAUGACCAUGGGCAAUCCAUAGAAGAAUUGACUACCACCAUGAAUCAACUAGCAAAGGCUCAACUUCAACAAGUGCAACAUCCCAGGCAAGUCAAUGCCAUGGAGGGAGUAAACAUGAUGGUGAACAACCGAAAAACCAAGGGUCCACAAGAGCAACAACGAGUGGACAAUUUUGUACAAGAAGAUAGUGGGUUUGAUCAAGAUGAUUAUUACAAUGAACAAGAGGAGGAUGUGCUGCAAUAUGUGAACAACUUUAAAGGGCAAUAAAAUAAUUUCCAAGGCCCAAAUCAACAACAAUGGCGACCUCAAAAUAAUCAAGACAAUUGGAAUUCUACCAACCAAGGUAAUUGGAGUGGUGGAAACAAUCAAGGGAAUUGGCAUAAUAACAAUCAAAGAAAUUGGAAUGGUAAUAAUCAAGAAAAUUGGAUAGGUAAAAAUCAAGGCGGAUAGAACAAUAACCAAGGCAAACGGGGGUCGGGUUUUCAAAGGCCCCCGAUGUAUCAACAACCGAGCAACCCGUCUCCUUAUCCUUCCCAUGGUCCUAGUUCUUCCAAUAAUGAAAUGGGGCGUAUUGAGAACAUGUUCAAGCAAAUGAUGGAAAAGAAUGUCGAUUCGGAUGCCCAACUUGCCUCACCCAACACAUUGAUCGGCAAUUUAGAGGUGCAAAUAAGGCAAAUCUCUCAAGCUCUCAAUUCUCGUCCUAAGGGGGCACUACCAAGUGACACGGUGGUGAACCCAAAGGGUGGGAACAACAUGGGGCAUUCCAUAGCCGUGACUACAAAAAGCGGAAAAAGUGGGAAUUCACCCACCUCAAUUCAAAGGCAACUUGUGGAUGAUGAGCAAGUGGUACAAGAAGAAGAGGUCCCAAAUGAUGUGGUGCAAACAAAUGAUGAGAUUUAGAUUGCUAUUGAUGAUAAUGUGGAAGUGACUCAAGAGAAUGUGAACCCUUCUAGGGAUCACGUUAUUGACAUACUGGAACCGGUAGUGUAAAAGGCUAAGGCACCAUUGCCUAAGACUCCGCCUCCAUAUCCUCAAAGGCUCGCCAAGCAAAAUGGCGAGAAUCAAUUCAAAAUGUUCAUUCAAAUGAUGAAGAGUCUCUCAAUCAAUGUGCCAUUAGUUGAGGCUUUAGAACAAAUGCAUGGUUAUGCAAAGUUUAUGAAGGAUCUUGUGACAAAGAAGCGGUCAAUGAAUUUUGAAACUAUCAAGGUCACUCAUAAAGUGAGUGCAAUUGUGCUUUCAAUGACUCCUAAAUUGGAAGAUCCCGAUGCGUUCAAGAUUUCUUGUACAAUUGGAAGAGCUGAGUUUGCUAAAGCUCUUUGUGAUCUCGAUGCAAGUAUCAAUUUGAUGACCCUAUUCGAUUUUCAAGACCUAGGGAAUUGGGCAACCAAGACCCACAUCUAUGAGAUUGCAAAUGGCUGAUCGUACAAUGAAGAGACCGUUGGGAGUGAUUGAAGAUGUAUUGGUUCGUGUUGAUAAAUUCAUUCUUUCAGCGGAUUUUGUCAUUCUUGAUUGUGAAGUGGAUUAUGAGGUGUCGAUUAUUCUUGAAAGACCUUUCCUUGCUACGGGGAAGGCUCUUUAUGAUGUGGAGGCCGGAGAACUCACCUUCCGGGUGGGUGAUGAAAAAGUGGUAUUCCAUGUGUGCAAAUCCAUAUGGAAACCAAAUAGCAACGAGGUGUGUUCUUUUGUGGACUUGGUGAUCGAUGUUAUUGUUGAUGAUACAAGUGCCACAAUCAAUGUUGGUGAUAUGUUGGAGGCCGUCUUGCUCAAUUUUUAUGAUGACGAGAUGGAUGUCUUCAUGGAAUGUGUGAACUCUUUGCAAGGAAUGGGGUCGUACAAUUAUGCACCUCGAAAACUAUCUUUGGACCUUGAAAAUAGGAAAAAUCCUCCUACAAAGCCUUCCAUUGAAGAGCCUCCUACCGUGGAGUUGAAGCCAUUGCCUCCACAUCUUCGGUAUGAAUUUCUUGGCCCUUGUUAUACUUUGUCGGUUAUUCUUUCUUCUUGUUUGACUAAUAUCCAGGUAGAUUCUACAUUGACGGUGCUACAUAAGAGGAAGAAGGCCAUUGGGUGGACACUGGCGGAUAUUCGGGGAAUACGCCCCGUAUUUUGCAUGCACAAGAUCAACUUGGAGGAAGACGCCAAACCAUUUAUUGAACAUCAAAGGAGACUCAAUGAGGCUAUGCAAGAGGUUGUAAAAAGGAGAUCAUCAAGUGGUUGGAUGCCGGGGUUGUUUACCCCAUUUUCGAUAGUUCGUGGACUUCUCUAGUUCAAUCUUUCCCAAAAAAAGGGGCCAUGACGGUGGUCACUAAUGACAAGAAUGAGUUUAUUCCUACAAGAAUGGUGACCGGUUGGAGAGUGUGUAUGGACUAUCGCAAGCUCAACAAAGUCACAGGGAAGGUUCAUUUUCCACUUCUCUUCCUUGACCAAAUGCUUGAUAGGUUAGCCGGCCGUACUUUCUGUUGCGUUCUUGAUGGAUAUUCGGGCUAUAACCAAAUCCUUAUUGCUCCAGAGGAUCAAGAGAAAACAACCUUUACAUGUCCCUAUGGUACUUUCGCCUUCAAGCGGAUGCCAUUUGGUUUAUGUAAUGCACCGGCAACUUUUCAUAGGUAUAUGAUGGCUAUCUUCACGGACAUGGUGGAGGACUACCUUGAAGUUUUCAUGGAUGACUUCUCGGUGGUUAGGGAUUCCUUUGAUGAUUGUCUUGAAAAUUUGGAUAAAGUGUUGGCAAGGUGUGAAGAAAUGAAUUUGGUGCUAAAUUAGGAGAAAUGUCAUUUCAUGGACGAGAAAGGCAUUGUCCUUGGCCACAAGAUCUCAAAGAAUGGAAUUGAAGUUGACAAGGCAAAGAUUGAGGUGAUUUCUAAACUUUCACCUCCAAUGUCGGUGAAAGGUAUGCGGAGUUUCUUAGGCCACGCAGGGUUUUACUGGCGCUUCAUCAAAGAUUUCUCUAAAAUUAUGAACCCUUUGUGCAAACUUCUUGAGAAAGAUGCAAAGUUUAACUUCAACGAUGAUUUCAUGAGAGCCUUUGAAUUGUUAAAGUUCAAGUUGACAACUACCCACAUCAUCAUCGCUCCAAAUUGGAGUGUCCCCUUUGAACUCAUGUGUGAUGCUAGUGACGUAGCGGUUGGAGCUAUUUUGGGGCAACACAUCAACAAGAUAUUGCAUCUGGUCUACUAUGCUAGUAAGACCAUAAAUGGUGCCCAAGUCAACUAUACCGUUACGGAGAAAGAGCUCAUUUCCAUUGUGUUUUCCUUUGAGAAGUUCCGCCUGUACUUGAUGGGUGCAAAAUUUAUUGUCCACACGGAUCAUGUGGCACUUCGUUAUCUUAUGAGCAAGGAAGAUUCCAAAGCUCGGUUGAUGAGAUGGGUGCUUUUGUUGCAAGAGUUUGAUAUUGACAUCCAAGAUAGAAAAGGGAGUGAAAAUCAAGUGGCGGACCACUUGUCUCGUUUGGAGGAGGAGGGGANNNNNNNNNNNNNNNNNNNNNNNNNAUCAAUGACUCCUUCCCCGAUGAGCAACUCUUGGCUAUUUCAAUGAAGGAGGUGUCAUGGUUCGCGGAUCUAGAAAAUUUCCUUAUGUGUGGAAUCAUCUCGGGUGAGUUCUCUUCAAACCAAAGAAAGAAGUGCAAACGGGAUUGUCAAUAGUAUUAUAGGGAUGAACCAUACCUUUUCCAGAUUUACACGGAUGGGAUGAUUAGAAGAUGUGUACCGGAAGAAGAACAAGGUUAAAUUCUUGGAGCUUGUCAUUCUUCGCCGUAUGGUGGUCACCAUGGUGGGGCAAGAACAGCGGCCAAAGUUUUAAGUUGCGGUCUCUAUUGGCCCACUCUUUACAAGGAUGCAAGUGAUGUAGUGAAAAGAUGUGAUGAAUGUCAACGGGCCGGUGGAAUCUCGAAGAAGAAUGAAUUGCCUCUCACUACCAUUUUGGAGAUUGAUAUCUUUGAUGUGUGGGGUGGUCCUUUUGUGAGUUCUUGUGGAAACACCUACAUCUUGGUCGCAUUUGAUUAUAUGUCUAAAUGAGUUGAGGCCAUUUCUCUACCCAACAAUGAGGCGAGAAGUGUGGUGGUGUUCUUAAAGAAGAAUAUUUCCACAAGGUUUGGUACUCCGAGGGCUAUCAUAAGCGAUGAGGGGUCGCAUUUUUGCAAAAAGACUUUUGACACUUUACUUAGCAUGUAUUGUGUUACUCAUAAAGUCACGACUCCUUAUCAUCCACAAGAAAGCGGUCAAGUGGAAGUCUCCAACUGGGAGAUAAAGAGUAUUUUGUCCAAAAUAGUGAAUGCUAAUCGGACGGAUUGGUCCAACAAGCUUGAGGAUACAUUAUGGGCUUAUCGUACGGCUUACAAAACACCUAUCGGAAUGUCGCCAUCCCGGUUGGGGUUCGGAAAAGCUUGUCAUCUUCCGGUGGAACUUGAGCACAAAGCCAUGUGGGCUCUAAAGAAGUUGAAUCUUGAUUGGGAUGUAGCUGCUAACUUGAGGGUUGCACAUUUGAAUGAAAUGGAUGAGUUCUGCUAUCAUGCUUAUGCAAGUUCGCCCUUGUACAAAGAAAAGAUGAAAUAUCUUCAUGACAAAUACAUUUGGAACAAAGAGUUCAAGGUGGGUGAUCUUGUAUUGUUGUUCAACUCAUGGUUGAGGAUGUUUCCCAGAAAGCUAAAGUCUAAAUCGAGUGGUCAUUUAGAAAUUAUGGGUAUGACACAUUUUGGUGCAUUGGACUUGAAGAACAAAAACAAUGAGGUAUUCCGAGUCAAUGGUCACCGGGUGAAGCACUAUUUGGAAAAAGUUGGAGAUGGCCACGUCGUGGCAGUGAUUCAUUUCAACUGAUAGUAGUAUGCAUCGUGUCGCGACGUUAAAUCAGGCGCUUCUUGGGAGGAAACCCAUGUUUCUUUUUCUUUUCUUUGUUUCUUUUGCAGUUAGGUGUUAUUUUUAUGCUAACUUGAUUUGAAGUAUACUGCAGGGAUGAGUGUGCUUUACAGGAAUUGUGGAUAGAAAUUUGGUUUUAAGUGUUGAAAGAAUUGCGAACCGCAGUUGCAUUGUGCGGGCCGCACAAUUAUGAUUGAUGCAGCAAAAUUGUAUUGCGGCCGCACAAUUAACCUGCGGACCGCACAACUGGAAGAUGAAAAAUGACAACUCUCUGAAGUUGGUCCGUCAGAAAAAUGGCUUAUCUGUGGCCGUAACACACAAUCUUCGGUCCGCACAUUUGAUCUGCGGUCGCACACAAAAAUUUACGGACCGCAAAAUAAAAUAGCAUUUAAGCCCCCAGGUUGUUGAGUGCGGACUGCAAUUGGAAUUCUACGGCUGCACUCGCUUCUCCUUCCCUUGUCAAAAAUCAAUAGGUAUAAAUAGAGGGGCUAGGGCCACUGUUCUCCUUUUCCCUCUUUGAGCACACAACGGGUAUUUUUUUGAAAUCUCUUGUUAAAUCAUCUACCCACACGUCUACAACUGUUGAUCACUCAUUUCUUCACACUCAUUCAUUUGGUAUGUUUCACAAUCUUGUUAAUCUUUUUCAUUUAACUUUUAGAUUUUUAGUAAAAUUUUAGGCCAUUUGUUUGUUGAAUUUGAUUGUACAUACUUGUGGGGGUAAAUAUGUAGUGGGUCAACUAGUACUUGUUAAUUGGGAACUCGGUAAAUGUAUUUUCAUGAUUUGAUGUUGUUUCCAUGUCAAAAUUUGUGCAAAAAAUUGCAUGCCCUAGAUAAAAUUGUCGAACUGUUCGUAAUUGUUGGAAUCUGCGGCCGCACAAGAAAUUGUGUGGUCCGCAGAAGUUGAUUCUAAGUAAGUUUAAUUAAGGAUGAGUCUACGUCCUCAAGGAAAAUUGUGCCGACUGUAGAAUUUCCAUUGCGACCGCAAAAACAUCUCUUUUCCUGUCUUCAAAGAAGGGUGAUAUUUGUGAUUUAAUGUGCAGCUGCAAGACAAAAUGUGUAGUCCGCAAAAAAUAUGUUGCGGUCGCAAAACAACCAAUUCUUUGUUAUCAGAGAGUUGGCAUAUUUGUGGUAUCUGUGUUGCGGCCGCAAGACAAAAUGUGCGGACCGUAAUCCAAAUCUGCGGCCGCAAAAGAAAAUUGUGCGGUCCGCAAGGCCCUUUAUGCGGCCGCAAUGAGAAAUGUGCGGACCGCAAAUCCCUACCCUGCAAGCAUGUUUCAACUGUGUUCCUCACUGUAUUUUCUGGUGUGUCCUUACAUUCAUUGUAUGUCUGAACUUGAAUUGUAGCUAACAAUCGCCUUUGCUUGGUACAGAAAAUGGUUCGAUCUAGAGAAAGAGGCGACACUUCGAAAGGAAGGGGUGACCCUUCUCGGGGAUGAGCUAAGAGACCCUUACCUAGUGCCCAGCAGCAUGAAAUCAGAAAGUAAAUAGCAGCCGGGAGAGGUGCAGACCUUUCCGAGACCAGUUCUUAUAUCCCAUUUAGGGAAGCAUCACAGGGAAACUCAGCCUUUGUACAUGAGCAGACGACUGUCCCGUCAAGGUCGCCAGGGAGGUAUCAACUCAAGGACGAGAUGUCAUCAUCACACAGCACUUUCGAGGGUUCGAAAAGUGCUAGUCAGGCUUCUGAGCCUUCCACUACACUUGUCCCUGAGGCACCAGAGACAUCAGUUCAGGACAUCCCCGAUGAUGGGAGGGGGAGAUGCUACAAUUGCCAGACUAGAAAGGUCGAAGAAGAAAGAGGUAUGGGAAGACAGGUUUGUCAGCUUGGCAAUUUUCUCGAGCUUCCGUGAUUGGUGGCCAAUGAGGUCGCUCACUCCUGAGCGACGGUUUCAGUAGAACGAUCUGGAGAAGUAUAACCCUGCAGUAUUGAUACAGUUUAAAGAAUGCAAAGGGUUGAUGUGGUUUACCUAGAGCGUGGUGGAUGCUAAGGAGUACCUUGUCCAGGAAUUCUACGCCAAUGUGGUACAUAUCAAGAAAGGGACAAAGAUGACGAAAGUGAGAAACCUCAAAGUGCGAUUUGAUCAGCACACAUUGAACACAUACUUGGGAUUUGAUGAUAUCGAGCCCAUAGAGUACUUAGAGAAAUGUGCACUUGGGGAUGCAGCUCGUCCUUGGCUAGCAGAGAUUAUAGCAGGUUCUGAACUACCACCACUGAUCACAAUAGGGGUUUCUAUUCACGGGAGUACUCUGAUCUUUGAAGCAAAGGGGUGGCAGACCUUUGUAUGCAGCAGACUGGACCCAUGCUAGAAUGAGACCUAUCUCCCGAUCCCUCGGGCAAUUCUAGUUGCGUCCAUCAUGGCCGAGUACUCUAGCAAUGUGGGAGCCGUGAUGUCGGCCAACAUCUCUGUGAUCUCUCGGCAAGCUGACACAUCCUACCUGUAUCCCAACACUAUUACAGAAUAUCUUACGGAUGCGAGGGUAGAGCCGAGGGACUUUGAUACAAAGGUGUGGCCGAAGAAACCUUUCACAUGGUACUCACGGAUGGAUGCACACAACCCUAAGAAAAAGGGUCAGUAGUCUAUCACCACAUGCCAGUUUGAUGAGCCAUCGGUGGUAGUUAUAGAGGCAGUUGAUAUUCCAUCCAUUUCGGCCUAGCAUUCAUCUAGUGCCACAGCUAUGCCUCUACCACCAUCUUCAGUUCCCAUUACAGUUCCUGCCACAGGUUCCACCUCGGCUUUGAAGCCGGUGCCCAUGCCUACUGCUUCACUUUCUGCGCUGCGAGUCUCCCAGACAUUGGCAAGCCUCAACUACUGGAUGCAGACAGCCACUGCAAAGUUUUCUAACUUAUCCAGUGCUAUUGCAAUGCAGUCUUCUAUUCCGGCACCUCAGAUGCCCCCAUCAACGGAAGAAAUAUUGAAGAAGCUCCUGAAACACCAGAACACCAUCAUGGCUACAUUGGUACAACAUGGGUCAGUGAUCGAAGAUUUGGGAAAAGAAGUAAAGAAGCUGAGAAAGUCCCAAGCCUCCAAGAAGUCAGUGGACAAGCUUCGGAGACAGGUUACCAAGUUUUCUGCAUCCGGAGGUAUUCCAUUUGACAUGCUGAUUGACCCACACCACCCAGGCCCAGAUCCUACAGCACCAACAACACCGGUGGCACCAGCUGGCCAGUCUGAGGAGCCAGACUCUGCUGCUGACACUGGAGAGGCAGUGCGUCAGAUGUUCACCAACCCAGUCACUCCCAGAGUUGAGGAUGAUGAGAUCCUGUUGGAAGAGACUGAGGGUGGUGACAUUGCUGGGGACACAGAGAUGUCCAAGGAGCCAUAGGGAGUCUUCUUCACUCUUUCCCUUCAUUUACUCUUAUUUUGUUAAGCAUUGGGGACAAUGCUUAAUUUUAUUCAGUGGGUGAAGUUUAUUUGAUCUUAUUUGAUGAUUCUGAGAUAUUUGUCUUGUAAUAACUUGAUACUAUUUUCUUCUUCUUCUCUCAUUAUGUAUAUAUCUUCUCUUUCUCCCUCAUUAUGUAUAUUCGAUAUAAUUUCGAUCGUUUUUACUUUGUAGCUUCUUUAUGUUUGUUUUCUUAUUAGUUAGUGUUUAUUUUAGUAGCUUCUUUUUAUGUUUUAGUAGAUAAUAAGCCUUAGGUUUUCUUAAUGCCAUGGUUCUUUCCAAAGGUAGUUUUUCUGUGAACCGGGUGACUCUUCCCAACGAUGGAUGGUGUGACAACCUUCUUAAGGGACUGAGUCUGUUUUUGGUCUUUAGGUAAUAAUAGUAGUAGUAAUGAAUAAAAAGACCUAAUUAAGUCAUGCUCGAAGAGUCAAACAUGCUUCAUUUGGCACCAACACACUUAACUACGUGCUUAUGGUUAGAAACAAGGUUUUUGGAAGAAAUAGCUCUAGUUAGUGACUUUGUGACUCUUGUGUNNNNNNNNNNNNNNNNNNNNNNNNNNNNNNNNNNNNNNNNNNNNNNNNNNNNNNNNNNNNNNNNNNNNNNNNNNNNNNNNNNNNNNNNNNNNNNNNNNNNNNNNNNNNNNNNNNNNNNNNNNNNNNNNNNNNNNNNNNNNNNNNNNNNNNNNNNNNNNNNNNNNNNNNNNNNNNNNNNNNNNNNNNNNNNNNNNNNNNNNNNNNNNNNNNNNNNNNNNNNNNNNNNNNNNNNNNNNNNNNNNNNNNNNNNNNNNNNNNNNNNNNNNNNNNNNNNNNNNNNNNNNNNNNNNNNNNNNNNNNNNNNNNNNNNNNNNNNNNNNNNNNNNNNNNNNNNNNNNNNNNNNNNNNNNNNNNNNNNNNNNNNNNNNNNNNNNNNNNNNNNNNNNNNNNNNNNNNNNNNNNNNNNNNNNNNNNNNNNNNNNNNNNNNNNNNNNNNNNNNNNNNNNNNNNNNNNNNNNNNNNNNNNNNNNNNNNNNNNNNNNNNNNNNNNNNNNNNNNNNNNNNNNNNNNNNNNNNNNNNNNNNNNNNNNNNNNNNNNNNNNNNNNNNNNNNNNNNNNNNNNNNNNNNNNNNNNNNNNNNNNNNNNNNNNNNNNNNNNNNNNNNNNNNNNNNNNNNNNNNNNNNNNNNNNNNNNNNNNNNNNNNNNNNNNNNNNNNNNNNNNNNNNNNNNNNNNNNNNNNNNNNNNNNNNNNNNNNNNNNNNNNNNNNNNNNNNNNNNNNNNNNNNNNNNNNNNNNNNNNNNNNNNNNNNNNNNNNNNNNNNNNNNNNNNNNNNNNNNNNNNNNNNNNNNNNNNNNNNNNNNNNNNNNNNNNNNNNNNNNNNNNNNNNNNNNNNNNNNNNNNNNNNNNNNNNNNNNNNNNNNNNNNNNNNNNNNNNNNNNNNNNNNNNNNNNNNNNNNNNNNNNNNNNNNNNNNNNNNNNNNNNNNNNNNNNNNNNNNNNNNNNNNNNNNNNNNNNNNNNNNNNNNNNNNNNNNNNNNNNNNNNNNNNNNNNNNNNNNNNNNNNNNNNNNNNNNNNNNNNNNNNNNNNNNNNNNNNNNNNNNNNNNNNNNNNNNGAUGAAAUGACCCUUUCACUUGUGGAGGUGGGAACUAAAUUGUUUGCUUGAGGACAAGUAAAGACUUAAGUUUGGUGGAGUUGAUAAGUGGGGAUUUUGACAACUUAUUAGCGCCUUUUACCUUUUGUUUUAGUAUAAAAGAAUUGAAUUGUGUUCCCGAAACUAAUGAAAUAUGCAAAAUUGCAGGAAUGCUGGAAGUUGGACUCCCGAGAUGAAAUCCGGCUGAAAGAGGAGAAGUCCAAGCACAAGACAACAAAAGGGCACAGAAGCAUACAAAGUGCAGUACGCAAAAGCAAUUGCGGAUCGCAUAAUUCCACCUGCGGCCGCAAAUAAAGAAGCGAAAUUCAGUAGAUAUUUGUGUGAAUUGCGGAACGCACAUGAAUUGAGCGGCCGCAAGACCUGGGCUAGGACUCAAGUUCAAAGAGUGUGCAAAUUUCUAAGUCCCAAGUCCCUGUAAAUUGCGGACCGUACAAGAAUUGUGCCGCUAAAGAAGAAGUGCCUUACGACCGAAGACAUAAAUGUGCGGACCUCAGAAUACUGGAUUGCGUCCACAAACAUAAUUUGUGGACCGCAAAAAUGUUGCCUCGCGGCCGCAACGCAGAAUUGUGUGGCCGCGAAAUCCCAGCCCCUGCCAGAUUAAGAAGUCUGCAGACCGCACAUGGAAUUGUACGGCCGCAGAACCUCCCGAGGUGUAUUUUUGUCAGAGAUUUUCAGACUUGUAUAAAUAGAAGAGUUUCACAAAAUUAGGUCAAGUUUUGACAUCAGCAAUUACUGUAGCCAUUUUUCUUUGCCUCUUUUAGAAGUUUACUAUAUUUUGGUGUAUUUUACAAUAGAUUUGAGUAUUUUAAGCUUACAUUAUGAGUUUAAUUAGUCUUUCUUCUUUUUAUUCUUAAUACCCAAGCAUGAGUAGCUAGAUUCUUACUAGGGUUGUGACCCAACCCUAGUGUGUCAACCUUAUGGGUAAUUAAAUUAGUGUUUGUUUAUGAAUGGGUGUUUGUUAUUUAGACUAGUUCAUGCUUUAAUUUGUGGAAUCAAUGGUUGCAAACAUUAGUUCGUGCCUAUUUGACUUAGUCUCUACUUGAGAAAGAGAGACUUAGUCUAGGAAAACUUGGCUAACAAGGAAUUGGGUCAAUCGAGUAAUUGAUUAACCCAAUUAAAGGUUUCAACCUAGAGAUAGUAAUAACCUGACUUGAGCUUUUAUCAACUAUUUUGUGUGAUACCCAUUUGGUCUUAAGAAAGCCAAAUUGGAAAAAAUCACUCUCUAAACGAGAGGUAUUGAGUGGGUAAUUGAGAGUUGAUAGCUAUAACACACCCCGACCAACAAAAUAAGCAUUAAGGUCUUUAUCACAUUAGGCAGACACCUAGGUAAUGGUUACAGCUCUAGGCUUUUAUCAAUUUGGAAAAUUCCCAAAAACAGUUAUCUCUAGUUUUCUAUAUUUAAUUUGCAAUCAAUAGAGUAAAAAUUAGAAAUUGAAAAUCAAUCUUUUGUGGAAGUGAAAUCUUGAUAAUUCAAUCACGCGCAUUAAGAUAUAUACCCCUAACUCCCAUUCUUAGCUCCCUGUGGAUUCGACCCCGACUCUUAGUUGAGUUUUAUUAUUAUAAACGACAGUUUCAUACCCCUUUUGAGGUAUGCUAUUGGACGCGAUCAGCAGUGAGGCUGCUUCAGGAGGCACUUACUCGAACAUGUAUCUCCGGGCCUGUUUUGGGCACAAACACUUCUUUACGGAGUCCCUGGCCGGAGAAAAGAAUAAGAGGGCAAAGAUUGAUGCCUCUGAGUCAUCUCCGGUGGCGAUGGUGAUUGGUCCUCCUUCCGGGUCAGUCAUAGACACUGUGAUGAUUGAUGAUGAUGAAGAAGCUAGUGAUAAGAGAGCUUCUCUACUUAGAAGACAACGAUCCUCAUCAUCUCAACAGGAUGUUCGACCUGUUGAGAGAGUUACACCAACCGAGGACGUUGCCUCGGCACUUUGGAGAGAGUUUGAUUUGGUAGAUAAUGUCAACUCCCAUUUUCGGGCCCUAAUUAUUGUGCCCGGUACUUAAGGGCUGAGUACCUGCUUCUUGCCGUCUUUGGUUGGCAAGCAUCCAACAACCAGUACUGCAUUUGAUGCAACUGCUUCUCAUUCUUCAAUUCCAUCAGCUUCAUCUCCAUCUUUACCAGUACCAGCAACUGCUACAUCAUUUUCAUCUCCAUCCACUCUUCCACCAGCAGUUGCUACAUCGCCUCCACCGGUCGUACCUGACCAUGAAAAGGGUGUUCCUCUUCCACAAUCCCCAGUUCAUGGGAAUUUGGGGCAAAAUUAUGCUGCCCCUUCUGAAGAUCCACAAAGGAGGAGGAGCGUUACUCUUUCGAUAUCUACCGGAUGCAGCUUGUUAUUCCGGUCGAUGGAGCUUGCUAAUUAUCUGAAGCCUUUGGCUUCAGAGAAAGACUGGGAAAAGAUUUAGGCACUCUCAGGAGAAUGUUUGUUGAACAACGCCAUGCACAAUGCCGCAGCGGUAUGUUCCUUUAUUCCUUUGUUAUUUCUUCUACUUUUGUAUCAAUGUAUUCUAAGUUUUACUUAUUCUUAUUUUGUAGGCCAACUUUCUUGCUUUUGAGGUCCUUCAGAGGUUGAUUAGUGAGAAGGAGGAACUUACUUCUGAACGGAAUCAACUUUUGAUGGAACGGGACCAAACUGUUAUCCGCCUCUCGGAACUGGAAACCAAAGCUACUGAGGUCGUUGUUUUUUAUGCUCGUUUACAGCAAAGCGAGCAAGAAGUGGUAACCCUUAGCCAAGAAAUUUUCCCGUUGAGGGUUAGAUUUGAUAAAGCCAAGGCCACAUGGGCUGAAGCUCAUGACGUCGUUCUUGCUGCAACUGAGCGCGAGGAUGCCUCCGCUGAAAGAGUGAUUAACUUAGAGACAACCUUGAACUCUAAAAUUGAAGCGCUUGCUGUUGUGGGAGCGGGGCCAAACACGCCCAGCUAGAAGAGAAGUACAAGAAAACUAUCGAGCAUAAUAGGCUCUUUAGUUCAACUGUCCGCGACCUUGAUGUCAGCCUCAAAUCUACUAGGUCCGCCCGGGAAAACCUUUCUGCCGAGGUAACCCAACUCAAAGAAGAACUCAAGCUCCGAGAAGCUUCCCCUCGUUGUUGAAAAAACUUACGCCAUGUACAGCAUGAGGAGAAAAAUCUUGGAACAGGCCAAAGUUGGUGUCAUUGACUUUGAUGCCGAAAUUGCUAAGGCACGCGAGCUUGAGUUAGCUGCUAAAAGUAAACUCCCAUCGAGGUCUGAUGUACCUGGUCCUUCUGGUUUUGGUUCCGAAUUUUCGGGAACUGAAGAAGAAUCGGAAGAUGAUGAUGCCAAAGGCCAAACUGAUGAAAAUGUUGAGCCACCGGUGGACCCACCUACUUCUCCCGGGGAUGCGGACACUUCACUUCCUCCUGGUUUCGGAGGCACUGCGGUUUAGAUUUUCUUUUCUUUUUCCCAUUUGGUAUUUUACCGUUUUGGCACGUUCUUGUAAAUAAAGACAUAUUUUUGCGCAAGUAUUGUUUGAGUCUUACUUUCAUUUGAAUAUCCAUGCAAGUCUUUAACCUUUGCAUUUGCUUAAGAAUUCUGUGCACGUUUUUCUGUUCGCGCUUUACUAUGUGUAGUCUCGGAUACAUUUUCCUCGAAACACUUUGGUUUCGAGCAUUAUUCCUUUUACGUGAGGGUUUCUAUAAGUAUUUGCGCAAGUUUAUUUUUUGCGUCCUUUUGUGUAUGUCUUUGGGUGCAUUUUUCCUCGAAGGCACUUUGAUUUCGGGCAUAAAUUCUUUCGAUACCAACCCUUUAACGUGAGGGUUUUCAUAAGAGGCUGCUCUCUUAUGUUUAGGGUGCUCUUGAAGAGGACGUCUCCUGUUCAUUACGGCACUAACAUUUGAAGUACUUGUUUAACUUUCAAAUGACAAAGUUAGUUUAUCGUGCAGACAAGUAACAAGAUAAAAAUAAAAGGAUUUCUUUUCAUAUAAUUCCUUCUAUUUUCAAAAGUACACAAGCAUUUAUUAUGCUAAGAAAUUGCCAUUACUUGUGGAUAUCUUUGUACAACUUGUCUAUACGGGGCUGGAUGCGCAGUCCCCGGUCUCGAUGAUGUAUUUGGUUUCCAGAUUUUCAGUUCCUGGUUGGCGUGGCAGUCAAUGUUGUCGUAUCCGCAUAUCAUUACCCCCCUCCCCCUCCCCCCCGCCAGUGUUCGAAUGCGAAGAAUGUGAAUUGGAACACUGGAAGUCUUAUGCCUUCAAAGAUCCCACCAAUGAAUUGCUAGAUAAUCCUUAACUCGGCAACAUACCUUACUUCCCCUUAGGAAUCCAUGCUAUCGAGCGAAAGAAUAUCUAACAAUCCUCUAGCAACUUGUGCUCGUGAACAGUCGGGUAACCUCUAUUCGGUAGCAAACUUAACUUCCCAGUGGGAAUUUGCUAUCGAACCAAAGAUUAUCUAACUGUCCCCGAGUGGAAGAUUAUUUGUUUGCCUUGCUCUCAAAGGACUUAUUGUUGUUGUCUUCGUAGUAUGCUUUCUAUCGCUGCCUCAUUAAAAACCUUGCCAGAAAAACCCAAUUGGGACAAAAACUGAACGAAGGGAAAAAGAGUGCAGCACAUACUUUCUGCUUUAGUAAUGUUUAUCAACAAUAAUAUCUUUUGAGGUGUGCCACGUUCCAGUUGCUAGGCAACUUGUCUCCACUCUGGUUCUCCAACUCGUAUGAACCUUUCCCAUGUUAAAGACCUCCCCACGUUGAACCUAGUUUCCCUGCGUUGAGCUCCCGAGUAUUUUGGGUUACUUUCUUCAUAACCAAAUCUCCUACUUUGAAAUAACGGAGGUUGGCUCUUCGAUUAUAAUAUUGCUCCAUUCUCUGCUUUUGAGUUGCCAUUCUUACACGCGCCAAGUCUCUGAGUUCCUCGAGCAGUUCCAAGUUGACUAACAUUGCUUCAUUGUUCGAUUCUUCAUCUGCCAGAAAAUAUCUCAAAGUGGGUUCGCCCACUUCCACUGGGAUUAGGGCUUCAGCAUCGUACACAAGGGAAAAAGGCAUUUCUCUUGUGCUCGAUUUGGCCGUUGUUCGGUAGGCCCAUAGAACUCCGGGAAAUUCUUUGGGCCAUUUGCCUUUUGCUGCUUCCAACCUUUUCUUGAUGUUUUGAAUAAUCACUUUGUUUGUUAACUCCGCUUAACCGUUUUUGCUCGGAUGAUAAGGAGAAGAUGUGAUCCUCUUUAUCUUCAAAUCUUCGAGGAACUUUGUAACUUUUGCACCGAUAAACUAUGGCCCAUUGUUGUAUUCUAUCUCUUUUGGUAUUCCGAACCUUCAAAUUAUAUUUUUCCACAAAAAAUCCACCACUUUGCGUUCUCUGAUAUUCUGAUAAGGACAUGUUUCUACCCAUUUAGAAAAAUAGUCAGUCAGAAUUAAAAGAAACCUUACCUUUUCGGGAGUCGGUGGCAGUGAUCCAACGAUGUCCAUCCCCCAUUUCAAGAACGGCCAUGGGGACAGAACCGAAUAUAAGAAUUCUACCGAUUGGUGUACUAGUGGUGCGUGGCAUUAGCACUUAUCACAUUUUUGUACGAAGUCUUUGGCGUCUUGUUCCAUGCGAAGCCAGUAAUAUCCUACCCGUACCAACUUCAGCACCAAAGAAUAUGCGCCCAAGUGAUUGUCGCAUAUCCAUUCGUGGACUUCUCUCAUGACAUAAUUAGCUUCUGAUGCUUAUAAGCACCGGGCCAGCGGGCCUUGGAAGGAUUUUCUAUACAAUUGGCCUCUCCUGAAGCUAUAACAUGCAGCUUUGACGUGUAACGCUCGUGAUGCUUUGGGGUCUUCGGGUAAAUUCCCAUGCUCGAGAUAGUCGUUUAUUUCAUUUCUCCAAUCGCAGACCAGACUAGUCGAAUUUACCUCACAGUAAGCAUUUGUAUCCAGGACUGAGUUCAUUAGUUGCAUUACCAUCCCGAACUCUGAUCCCUUUAUUUCCGUCGACGAUCCUAAUUUUUCUAAUGUAUCCACUUCUGCGUUAUCCUCCCUCAUGAUAUGAGUAAUUGACCAUUCCCAGAAUCGUGCCAAAAAAAGCCUGGACCUUUACCACGUAUUGUUGCAUACGUUCUUCUUUGGUAUCAAAGAUCCUAUAGACCUGAUUUACCACCAGCUGCGAGUCACAUUUGAUUUCAAUAACCUCGGAAACAAGUCCUCGGGCUAAUUCGAGCCCUGCAAUCAAAGCUUCGUAUUCUGCUUCAUUGUUAGUUAAAGGGAUCGUUUUGAUGGCUUGCCUUAAGGUUUCCCCCGAAGGCGUGAUUAAGACUAUUCUGAGUUCGAACUCUUUUACGUUGGAAGCUCUAUCCCUAAAUAAGGUCCAAACCCCCGAUGUCGAUUCUGACACCAUUACUGCCUUCUUGGUUGCCAGAGGCAGAAGUGCUGGACUGAAAUCGGCCACGAAGUCAGCUAAGACUUGUGACUUAAUUGCAAUCCUUGGUUUAUAUUCUAUGUCGAACUCACUCAUUUCGACGGCCCAUUUGUCCAAUAUACCCGAGAUCUGGGGUUUAUAGAGGAUGUUCCGCAAAGGAAAAGUAGCCACCACAGCUAUCGGGUGACAUUGAAAAUAGGGCCUCAACUUCCGAGUAGCGACUACGAGAGCUAAGGCUAGUUUUUACAAAUGUGGGUAGCGAGUUUUUGCUCUCGUUAAAAUUUUGCUAAUAUAACAAAUGGGAAAUUGCGUACCUUCAUCCUCUCGGACUAAAACUGCACUUACCGCAACUUCUGAAACUGCGAGGUAGACUAGCAAUCUUUCACCUUCUUUUGGUUUUGAGAGCAAUGGAGGGCUUGAUAAGUACUUCUCCAGGCCCCUUAGAUCCUGUUGGCACUCCGGUGUCCAUUCAAAAUUAUUUUUAUUUUUGAGCAGUGUGAAGAAGCGAUGACAUUUUUCCGACGACCGGGAAAUGAACCUGCUCAAAGCUGCUAAUCUUCUUGUGAGCAUUUGGACUUCUUUUACGUUCGACAACUGAUCCGGGAUAUCCUCUAUGGCCUUGAUUUUGUCGGGGUUCACCUCAAUUCCUCUUUGUGAGACCAGAAAUCCCAGAAACUUACAAGAACUGACCCCGAAUGCGCACUUCUCGGGAUUAAGUUUCAUGUUAUGCUUCCUCAGGAUGUAGAAUGUUUCUUGCAAAUGCUUAAGGUGGUUACCUGCAUUCAAAGACUUAACGAGCAUAUCGUCUAUAUAAACUUCCAUAUUCUUUCCUAUUUGCUUUUUAAACAUCUUAUUUACGAGCCGUUGAUAAGUGGCUCCGGCGUUUUUCAACCAGAAGGGCAUCACAUUGUAACAAUAUGUACCGAAAUUCGUUAUAAACGAAGUCUUUUCCUGAUAUUCCGGGUUCAUCUUGAUUUGGUUGUACCCGGAAUAAGCAUCGAGGAAACUCAUUAACUCAUGCAUGGCCGUGGCAUCAAUCAUUUGAUUGAUAUUUGACAGUGAGACCGAGUCUUUCGGGCACGCCUUAUUAAUGUCUUUAUAGUCUACACACAUGCAAAAUUUAUUGUUCUUCUUCGGAACUACUACUACAUUGGCUAGCCAGUCCGGAUAUCUUACCUCUCGGAUCGAACCGAUGUUAAGCAAGCAGGUUAUCUCUUCUUUGACGAAUGUAUUCCUGGCCUCAGCAAUAGGGCGUUUCUUUUGUCUUACUGGAGGUACGUUGGGAUCCAAACUCAGCUUGUGCACGGCUACUUCCGUCGGGAUACAUGUCAUAUCCUCGUGCGACCAUGCAAAACAAUCGGUAUUAAAUUUAAGGAAUUCAAUAAAACCAUACCUGAGCUCCGGGUGCAGUCAUGUCCCCAAAUGGAAUUUUCUUUCUAGGAAUUCUUCGAACAAUGCAACUUGCUCCAGUUCCUCCAUCGUGGACUUCGUUGUGUCCGUCUCUUAUGGAACUUGGAAAUAUCUCGGCACCUAAUAAUGUUCUGGCAACUCUGCUCCCGAGCUAACUUCUUCUAGCUCGGGAAUAGGUGUAGGUUCCUGUAAUUGCUAUGCCGUGUUCUCCUUCCCUUUGCUACUGGAAACAGAAAUUGCAUUCAUCUCUUUUGUUGCCGGUUGAUCACCUCUUAUCUGCUUGAUUCCUUCGGGCGUUGGAAACUUCAGCAAUUGGUGAUAUGUUGAGGGUACAGCUUCCAUCUCGUGUAACCAUGGCCUUCCUAGGAUGAUAUUGUAUCCCAUGUCACCGUCUAAUACUUCGAAAAGAGUUGUUUUCAUUACUCCUUCAGCAUUCGUGAGCAGCAAAAUCUUUCUUCUGGUCGUUACGCUCGCAAGGUUGAAUCUAGCGAGGAGCUUUGUUGCCGGAAUAAUGCUUCAGGUAAGUUUAGCUUGCUCCAAUACUCUCCAUUGUAUGAUAUUAGCCAAACUUCCUAGAUCCACUAGAACACGCUUAAUCUUAAAAUCCAACACAUUUAAAGAAAUUACCAGUGCAUCGUUGUGUGCUAACAGCAAUCCGUCUGUGUCCACCUCCGUGAAAGUGAUAUAGUCUUCCCGGAGUCUUUUACUAUAAGUUAUUGAUACUUUUGUCUUCUUCGCUGCCGAAAAGGUGACCCCGUUAAUCUCAUUCCCUCCGUAGAUCAUAUUGAUCGUUUGGUGUGAGGGUUCUUCUCUAGCUUUUGAAGGUUCCACGUUAUCUCUGUUAAGACCAUAAUUGUUCUUAACUCGGUCACUCAAGAAUCCUUCGAGGUGACCAUUAUUCAAUAGUGUUUCCACCUCUUCCCGGAGGUGUCGGCGAUCCCCUAUUCGGUGGCCAUUCGUCCCAUGGUAUUCACACCAUAAGUUGGGAUCCAUCUGGCUAGAAUCGGAUCUCAUAGGUCUCGGGAAUCGCGCUUCUUUGAUGUUUCUCAUGGCUGACACCAACUCCAUUAUACUGACGUUGAAGUUAUAUUCCGAUAACUUGGGGUAAGAAGGAUACCGAGACCCCGAUGUCUCUUUAUCCUGAAGUGAUCUGUUGUUUUGACCACGAUCGGUCCCUCUAUCAACGGUGAACUUGUUUGUUGCCUAGAAGUUUUUUCCACGGCCUUCGGUCCGCUCGUAAGGCAAAAACCGACCCCUUGAAGUCCAUUUGUCUGCAUCGUAGUCAUCCUUUGAUUUUUAUCUACUCUUCUCCCGUCCCUUGGCCGAUGAUGUAGAACCGACCUGGUCAUCUUCGAUCCUUAUCUUUGACUCGUACCGGUUGUGGACAUCUGCCCAAGUUGUUGCUUGAAACUCAAGCAGGCUCUCCUUCAGUUUUCGGGAAGCGUCUGAGCUUCUCGGAUUCAAUCCUUUGGUGAAUGUUUCAGCUACCUAUUCAUCCGGGACAGCCGAGUGCAACAUUCUUUCUUUCUGGAAUCGGGUAACGAACUCUCGUAAUAAUUCGGGUUCUCCCUGUGUGUUCCUGAAUAUGUCGGCCUUUCGGGCUUGUACUUUUCUAGGCCCGGCAUAAGCAUUGAUGAAAGAAUCCGCGAGCAUCUCAAAGGAAUCUAUGGAAUGCUCGGGUAAUAAUGAAUACCACGUUAGAUCUCCCCUCAUGAGAGUUUCUCCAAAUUUCUUCAACAACACACAUUCAAUUUCGUGAGGAGCUAAAUCAUUUCCUUUUAUCGCCGUUAUGUAGGUAGUAAUAUGCUCCUGUGGGUUUGAAGUCCCGUCAUACUUUGGCAUUUCAGGUAUUUUGAACCGCUUUGGGACUAGUUCUGGUGUCGCACUCGGCUUGUACGGCAAUUAAGUAUACUUCUUCAAGUCUGGGCCUCAAUACUGGUGAUGUGCCCGGGAUCUGUUCCAUGUGGGUGUUUACUUCCCUCAUAAACUGUAAAAGUUCAUUCUUGAACGGGUCGUUCUCGUUGUUGAGAUUGGGUCUGUUCCCCCAGCCCCGUCAGAGCCAACUUCACCUCUGGGAGUGUUGUUGUCGACUCUCUGCGUUGUUUGGUUUGCGGGAACACCGGGAGGAAUUGGAUCUCGUCUGUUUGCAUUAUUUGAAGCCCCCGAUAGCGCCUGCUUCAGCUCCGUCAUAACCUUAUCCUGCCACGUGGGAUGAACUAGAAUGAUUGUCGGUUGCUCUUGCAGGACCCUCACCGCAUCCACGACAUGUUCCUCAUCAGCAUCAUCGGGAGUUGUCUCCUGAACCUAUCGAGGGUUCUGCCUGUCAUGCACCGGGUGGCAUCAUUUCCCUCAUUGCGGGUGUCACUAAUUGAAUCCUCGAAAUGAGGUUGAUCCCCUCAAAUUUCAGGGUUGAACAUGUUGUUAAUAGAGUUAUCUGCCAUUUUGUGAUUUUUUCUAAGACAAAACAAUCAAAUCACGCUAGUAAAAAAGACAAGGAUCAAUUUAAUUGCACGGUUCUCUAGGUCCCACGGUGGGUGCCAAACUGUUUACCCGUAAAACAGUACAGUUGAAUUUAUACGUGGUUUCUAGAUGACAAUAUCUUUCCUUCUCAAUAGAUGAAACAACAGAGAUGACGAUAUCUUUCCUUCUCAAUAUUGUGGUGCAAGUGACGUUUCAAACUCUCAAGGACUUGAAAAAAAAACAUCAAAUGAUAAUCAUAAAGUCGAUUCAACCUUCUAGCAAUUGUUUCGAGCCAUGAACUGUGAAAAUUACCUAAGUUAAAAUAUCACUCUGAUUAAUUACAUAAGUAGUUUAUUUGCAUCCAAUUUACUAUUGAAGAAGAAAAGUAAAUUUUAAAUUAAUUAGAUAAGUCGUAAUUGACAAUACAUCAACCUUUAUAGAUGAAUACAAAGAACAGAGAAUGUAAUUCUUGUUGGAAGUAAGAAUUUUGAACUAAAAAAAGUUCUCCAUAUCUCCUAUCCUGCUAGAAUUUUCCAGUCCGAUUUCCAGUAACCGCGCCUUACCCUGUUUCCAUGUGUAGGGACGGCACCACAUAAUGGUUGUGUGUACACGGCAUACACACACCACUAGAUACGGACAUUUGAUAGGGGAGAAAACAUACUUGUUGCAUAGUUGCAUAACGUUAAAAGUGUGUCUCAACGUACCAUUCCCGAAUGCACUAAUGAGAAAUUUUCUUUAAACAUGUAGUUAAGAGUAAUAAUGAUGCAGUUAAGAGUAAGGUUUGUAGUGAAAAUAUCACUGACGCAAAUUCUUAAGACAUUUUUACAGAGCAGAAAACCCAUGCUCGAUAUUGGCAUGUGUACCUAAAAGUAAAUGGCUUAAGCUCACGAGUGCAAACAUGGAAUGGAAAAAGGAAAGAUUUGGUGCAUGCCACACUCAAAGCUGAUUAUAUAUCAAAUUGCCCGUGAUUCACUGGAUCAAACUACAAAUGCAACAGAAACCAACUUCUGAUGGCAUUUCGAAGAUACAAGUUAAAUCAGGGGUAUGUUCAUUCGAAUCAUCACAACCAAUAGGCAACCCAAUUUCUUUCUCCAGAUAUUCAAUUGCAUGAAGCUGAAAAUAAGUGAACAAGGAAACAAUACCAAGAUGAACAGAAUAGAGCUCUAUUAAAUUCACAGCUGAAACUAAACACACCAGAAAUCAACUUAGAGUGCAUUUGAAACCAAAAGGGAGAAAUUACUUCUACCAAAGGUAAUGGAAGGUGGAUGAAUCCAGCUUAGAAGUACACCCACUGCCUCAAACUUCAAUACGAUAUAUUACUACUCAAACUAAAUUAAGUUUUACUAAUAUGAAUCCUUCGCGUUCAUUCUGCUACAUCUGGACUCCUUUCAUUAACUACUCAAUAAUCUGUCCUUGGAUUUCUAAAAUUCGGGAUUCUCUAAGUAUCCCAUGUAUCCUCCAUCGUCCAAUCUAUAACCAAGUUUAAAACACUCCUGAUAAAUACCAGGGCCUAAUGUAAGUGUGCCAAUAACAAUUAACCUUAAUCCAAGUUAGUUCCUUUUGACAACAAGGAUACUUUGAUUACUGUUCCAUACUUACAAAGCAUAGCCUGUUUGGCCAAACUUCUAAAAUUAGUUUAUUUUGAGAAGUGUUUUUUUCAAAAGUACUUUUCAAAAAAUUAUUUUUGAUGAGAAGCAGUUUGUGUUUGGCUAAUUAAUUUGAAAAUCACUUUUGAACAGUAAUUAAUUUUUGACCAAGCUUUUGAAAACUACUUUUAAGUGUAUUUUUCUCAAAAGUAUUUAUCAGAAAAGUAUUUUUGGAGAGUGCUAUUUUUUUCUGUUUCUCAAAAACUGCUGGUUCUCAAAAAAGGCACUUUUUUCUAUCUAAAAGUUUUGGCCAGACAAUUUAUUUUUGGCCAAAAGUACUUUUGACCAAAAAAAAUUAAAACACUUUUGCCCAAAAAAAAAAAAACUUGGCCAAACAAACUAUUAAUGUGUAUGGAUUGAAAGAAAUUGUUCCAUGUAACUUUAAGACUACAUGUAUUAAUAAUAUACAUGUAUUUAUGCAUCAAAACUUCUAGAGAUGACUGUAUAUAGUAUACAUUAACAUGUGUAUCCACAGUCCACUAUACAGAUUCCUUUCUACAGUCGCAUGCUAAUCAAUAGAAAAUCCAUACACUCCCAGAUUAUACGCAGAGACAAAUUUUACAGAGCUGAAUAUCCAAAUGCAUUACUAAAUGAAUCUUAAUCAUUCCACUUAAGUAAAAAACAUUAUCCCAUUCCAAUGGUUUCAGUACUGAAACCUGCUGAAAUAACAACUGGCCAGAAAAUUAAAACUACAAUAUACCGAAGAACAUAUCCCAAAGUAUAAAAUACGCUCAUCCAAAGCACAAGAGAAGGCUCCUUAACCUCAAUUACUGUAAACAUUUAAAACGAAAUUAAGAGUUUUCUAGACUUACAAACCAUCUCACUCGGAACGAUUAGCAUACCUCUCCACCUUAUCAUCAAGAUUAAUUCCAACCAUNNNNN